AGAGUUUGAUCCUGGCUCAGGAUGAACGCUAGCGACAGGCUUAACACAUGCAAGUCGAGGGGCAGCGGGGGCGAAGCUUGCUUCGCCUGCCGGCGACCGGCGCACGGGUGAGUAACACGUAUGCGACCUGCCCCCCGCAGGGGGAUAACCGGGAGAAAUCCCGACUAAUACCGCGUAACGCCGCUGGGCUGCAUGGCCCGGCGGCCAAAGGAAGCGAUUCCGGCGGGGGAUGGGCAUGCGGCGCAUUAGCUAGUCGGCGGGGUAACGGCCCACCGAGGCGACGAUGCGUAGGGGUUCUGAGAGGAAGGUCCCCCACACUGGUACUGAGACACGGACCAGACUCCUACGGGAGGCAGCAGUGAGGAAUAUUGGUCAAUGGGCGGGAGCCUGAACCAGCCAAGUCGCGUGAGGGAAGACGGUCCUACGGAUUGUAAACCUCUUUUGCCGGGGAGCAACGGGGUCCUUGCGAGGGCCCGAUGAGAGUACCCGGAGAAAAAGCAUCGGCUAACUCCGUGCCAGCAGCCGCGGUAAUACGGAGGAUGCGAGCGUUAUCCGGAUUUAUUGGGUUUAAAGGGUGCGUAGGCGGGCUGUUAAGUCAGCGGUCAAAUGUCGGGGCUCAACCCCGGCCUGCCGUUGAAACUGGCGGCCUCGAGUGGGCGAGAAGUAUGCGGAAUGCGUGGUGUAGCGGUGAAAUGCAUAGAUAUCACGCAGAACUCCGAUUGCGAAGGCAGCAUACCGGCGCCCGACUGACGCUGAGGCACGAAAGCGUGGGUAUCGAACAGGAUUAGAUACCCUGGUAGUCCACGCAGUAAACGAUGAAUGCUAGCUGUCCGGUUCUACGGGACUGGGUGGCACAGCGAAAGCGUUAAGCAUUCCACCUGGGGAGUACGCCGGCAACGGUGAAACUCAAAGGAAUUGACGGGGGCCCGCACGAGCGGAGGAACAUGUGGUUUAAUUCGAUGAUACGCGAGGAACCUUACCCGGGCUCAAACGCCAAAGGACAGCCGCUGAAAGGCGGCCUCCCUCCGGGGUCUUUGGCGAGGUGCUGCAUGGUUGUCGUCAGCUCGUGCCGUGAGGUGUCGGCUUAAGUGCCAUAACGAGCGCAACCCCCAUCGACAGUUGCUAACGGGUGAUGCCGAGGACUCUGUCGAGACUGCCGGCGCAAGCUGCGAGGAAGGCGGGGAUGACGUCAAAUCAGCACGGCCCUUACGUCCGGGGCGACACACGUGUUACAAUGGCCGGUACAGCGGGAUGCCAGGGCGCGAGCCCGAGCGGAACCCGAAAACCGGUCUCAGUUCGGAUUGGAGUCUGCAACCCGACUCCAUGAAGCUGGAUUCGCUAGUAAUCGCGCAUCAGCCACGGCGCGGUGAAUACGUUCCCGGGCCUUGUACUCACCGCCCGUCA
RNAcentral lists this ribosomal RNA (1404 nucleotides) under uncultured bacterium. RNAcentral's name for it is "16S ribosomal RNA". It matches the Rfam family "Bacterial small subunit ribosomal RNA". The record is from RNAcentral.